AUGUUUUAUUUCUGAUGUCAGUCCUUCAAUGUUCAUCCCUUUGUUUAUCCUGGUUUUCCUUUGUAAAUGUUUUACCUUUUACUUAAACAUGCCUGCGUUGUGUUCUGCUUUUUGGUCCACCUGCCUGAAUAACAGUGACAUGUCCUGCAGUUAGAUCCGGAAUUCCUCAGUUUGUCUUCAAUCCCAGAGGAGUUGGGGGAUAACUCGGCCGGAUCAAAGAAUUUGAAUGAAUCAUUCUGUAGUCUUUGGGCCUUUAGCUCCAGGGAGAGUUACAGCCUGAUUGGAUUUUCCACAUUCAGGAGCAAUCCUCCAUAAUGUCACUGACACCUCACUAAAGCAACACUGUCAUAGUCUGUUAUCUGGUUCAAUAUUCUCCUAUUGGCACUUUCCUGUCGGUGUAGAGCAGGGGGCAUGCCAGCAAAAUGUGACACGCACAGGAAUAUUCCCCUUGUUAUUUCCAGCCAGCAAGAACAGGAGAAAAAAAAUGACUGACAGAAAUACCAGGCAGCCUCUCUCUGCAGGGGGUCGACUGUAACAGCAUUUUGUUACAGGCAGUAUUACAGAGUACCAUAACAAACUGUUGGAUCAACAAGAACGACAGCGCUUCAUCAAUUAUGCUCAGAGACUCAACAUGCAGGCUUAUUGAGUCUCAUGGGAAAACUCAGUCUGUUCGCUUAGUUUGUUUGUUUGGUGAUCCAUAUCAGCUUAUAAUAGAAGACUGUUGUAUUUUCUUUGCAAGACUUGGAAACCUUUGACAUUUUUUAAAAAUUCACUUGAUAAGUGAACUGCUUUUGGUAGAAAAUGUACACCCUGAAUUUUUGCAACUUUAAAAUGACACAUUGUCUACAUAGAUGGAAUGAAAUAGUCUGAUUUCCCCAUCUUGCAUUUAUUCACCCGGAAAAUUCGGCAAGCCUAAAAAAGCAAAUGAAAGCUCUCCUGGAGAUUAUUCACAGCACUCAGUCAAUUGUACUUAUGUUACCUUAUCAGUUUCUCUCUGUUAGUUUUUCUCCCUGAUCAUAAAACAUAAUGUCUUAUCCCUUUUAUAAGAUAUAAAAUAAUGCUAUCUCAUAGGGCAAAACUUCAUUAUGUAGCUCCAAGACUUCAAUAGUCUGAUGGGAUUUUUAUACGUUUUUGCAAAUGGCUUUACAUUUCCCUGCAAACAUCUAAGUUUUAAUAGGGAGCUUAUAACUUUUCUACACUAAAACUACUGACACUUUGCUGCUUCUCUCAAAGAAAUAUAUAAUAAAACCAUGCUCAUGCAGAGCAAGCAUUACAUUCAAAGUGCCUUAUUAACUAAACAGGUGCACUACCAAUUUUCAUUUGUAAGACAUUAAAGAAGCUUCGGUAUCUCUGUUUAUGCUGACCUAACGUUAUUGUUAGGAACAACGGGAGGAAUCCGUAUAAAUAAAAAAAUACUUUAAGAGUGUUUUGCAUCUUUCACACGACCUACUAUCAGUGUCUGCAGCAGAAAUUAAUUGAUGAGGGAGUAAGAGUGAUCUGACUGUACGGGGGCUUUGCUCUCUCUUUUUGUUCCAUAAUGUAUCCCAUAUUACAACAUUCACACAGCAGGAUAUCAGAGGGAUGGUAGAGUAUGUAAUAAUGUAAAAAUGUUGCAAGGCUUUUUAAAUAAAAAAUGGGAUAUCUGCCAGUC
This is a long non-coding RNA of Eleginops maclovinus (Patagonian blennie), 1651 nucleotides long. RefSeq lists it as uncharacterized. NCBI's taxonomy places the organism in Eukaryota, Metazoa, Chordata, Actinopteri, Perciformes, Eleginopidae. The record is from RefSeq and is a predicted model, not a curated record. The transcript is spliced from 2 exons.